UUACUCUGUAAUCUGUGUUCAUUCAUGAUAAAAUCCUCUACAUUUAAUGCAUUUUGUAAGGAUGGUGAUCUUUUGCUUAUUGUAUUUUUGCAAAUCACGCAAGCAGGCAUCUUCUCGGGGUAUUUUUUCACACACAAGAGUAUCGCCAACAAAAUUACACACAAAAUGAUAUCAAUUUAACGUUUUUAUUGAUUAAUGUACGGUGAAAAUUUGCAAAUUGUAGAGAGCAAUACAGAACAUCCGAUACUCUCCACAACCAACACAAUAUGCUGAAUUGUUUUGUAUUCACUUAUUUUUUGUAUAUUUUUCUUGUUGAAAAGGUCAUGUACCGUUAAUGAAUAAAUAAAUAAAUAUUAGAAGUUUAAUUUAUUGUAAUUUUUUCUUUAUAGCCCCUGUAGUUCCCGUACACAAACCUCAAGGUUCUUGAGAUAUUCAUUCAUUGUCUCGAAUUUGAUGUCCUGAGUGGAUAGGUAACUUUCAACUGUAAAUUGUUUCGAGUUGAAAAUUGUCUAUCGUCUGAGAAUAAUCUGUAGAUUCCACUUGUGGUCUUCUUGGGGAAAUUCGAAAUUGAUUCAGACUAAUAUACUCCAUGUAAUAAGAGUGACUGUUAAGCACGAAAAAGUCAAAUACAAUGUGUUGUAUUUUAUUAGACAUUUAUGUGAAAUGCAGAAAUCUCCAUCUAAAAAUGUUAUUCCUAAAUUCAAAGAUUUUUAGAAGUCGCAAUAAUUAAUUCAAAAGUAUCUUGAUAUCAAAUUGGGGACAAAUUAAUUAAUUAUGUCCAGAAUCUUGUGAUUUGGACAUGGAAAAGUUCGAACAAACCGUAUUUAAAAUUUUGUGAAGUAUCCAAAAAUAAAAAAUCUCAUUUCGUUCUCUAGACACUCCAAGUGGUCACUUUGCGCGAAAUUCACUGAAUAUCAAUGUAGAUUUAUGAGAGGAGGAGACAGAACUACCCUUGCUUUAAGACUGAUUGAAAAUAUGUAAGCAUUGCCUCCUUACAAUAUAAAAGUUAGAAAUGCUUCUUUCAUAAUAAUUUAUUUUAAUUCUCUAAUUAAUCUAAUAAUUGGUGCAUUCAUGGACAUUGGACAUAUUUUGUUGAUUUGUGGUGUAUAAUGUGGUGGGGUUUAGACUUCACCGCAUCGAUUUUCAUUUGUUUCAUGUAUUCAUUUGAUUUCAAUAAAGCAAUUUCAAAAAUGAACCAUUUUUUUCAUUGAGAGGGCUUACAGACAUCAAAUUAAUUGAACUAAACACAGAAUUACAUGAUUUUUACUAUUAUGUGUGUAAAAAUGAAACUCACACUUCCUUAGAUGAGAAGUCUGAGUGAACAUGUUUCAUUUUUAUGACUUUUUUUUGACAGUUUUGUUUAUUUAGAUUUUCCGUAAUUAUGAGUAGUAUUUAGAAGCUAAUAGCAUUAAUUUCCAAUUUAUAAGAUGGUUUUCUCUUCUUUUGUACAUUGGAAGUUAAUAACAGUAAUUUGAUGCCCGUCUCUAUAAACAGGUUUUAUUUAUACAAGUUCCAACAAAAUGUUACGAGAAAUAUCUUACCUAUAAACAGAAAUCGGAAAUUAAUGAUAUUAGCUUCUAAAUACUACUUAUAAUUACGGAAAAUCUAAAUAAAUAAAACUGUCAAAGAAAAAUCAUAAAAAUGAAACAUAUUCACCCAGACUUCUCGUCUAAGGAAAUGUGAGAUUCAUUUUUACAUGUGUUUCGCUAUCAUCUCAAGUAUCAUCACCUUGGAUAGAGAAACAUGUAUCAUGGUUAAAUAACUCAUGUUAGCGAAAAUUACGUAAUUCAGUUAUGGAUUAUCAUCAAUUAACUAUUAAACUAAUAUCCACACACAAAUGUCAACAGAAUAACAUAUCUACCUCAAUGAAAUAUUCUUUAAUGAAAUUCAUGCAGAAUUUCAGAUUGAUGUUUUCAGGAAUAUGAAACUUUAAAGUCAUUUUUUACAUGUAUUUGCACACAUUACAAAUAAAAUGAUUUGGGAAAGUACAUGAAAUGUGGAUAACUUAUUAUUAUAUACACUAAAAAGAAAAGGGCAUUUACCUAGGCAAGAACUUUAAAAUAAUACUAGUGUAUCACUAAUGAUUAUGUAAAAAAGUCAGAAUAAGUUUAAUGAAAACAAAUUGCCAACUAAAUGGCUCUAAAAAUUCAACAAUGAUGUUUAUAAAUUACUGAUUUGACUUAAACAAUAAUCACAGUUACCAUAGAGUUCUUAUUAACAAAUCUUAACCACAUUAGAUAUGAUUGAGCUUCUUAUAUUUUGUGAUAAAAACUUAGUAUAGUAAAAUAUCCUAGAUAACAAGUUCAAUGGAAAUGUAGGAACCUGAAAAACUAAUUAAUAUUAGAAAGACAUAAGUUCAUUUUUCAUUUUCCUGAUUAUUGACUAACACUUUUAUCCAUAACCACUGGGUACCAAAAAACUAAAUAUUUCGAGGAAAACAACAUUUUUGAUUGAAAACUUUCAAAUACAUGUAAUUUAAUGACUAAUUGAAUGUAGUUCUAUUCAUGCACUGGAUUUUCAAAUAUCACAGAGAAAGCAUAAUAAAACAAUUUUUUCAACUAUUGCUGCAAAAUAAUAAAUUUUAACUUCAACUACCAAUAAUAAAUUAGAUAAAUUAUAAAAAUCACAACUACUACUACGUUAAUUCUUUGGGCUGAAACUCUUAACUUGAGCCUGAUACAAUUAAACAUUGACAAAUAUAUGCUUCAGUAUAUCCUUAAAAAUUGAUACACACUUAGUACGUUUUUUGGCAACAACCAUAGAAGAAAAA
Molecule: long non-coding RNA, 2770 nt
Organism: Coccinella septempunctata (seven-spotted ladybird)
Lineage: Eukaryota; Metazoa; Arthropoda; Insecta; Coleoptera; Coccinellidae
Exons: 2
Source: RefSeq, a predicted model, not a curated record